GGGAAAGUGGCUGAGUGGUUUAAGGCGACAGACUGUAAAUCUGCUGGCAGACGUCGACACAGGUUCGAAUCCUGUCUUUCCCA
Molecule: transfer RNA, 83 nt
Filed under: Micromonas pusilla CCMP1545
Lineage: Eukaryota; Viridiplantae; Chlorophyta; Mamiellophyceae; Mamiellales; Mamiellaceae
Description: tRNA-Tyr
Rfam family: tRNA
About the family: Transfer RNA (tRNA) molecules are approximately 80 nucleotides in length. Their secondary structure includes four short double-helical elements and three loops (D, anti-codon, and T loops).
Source: RNAcentral